UAAUACGUAGGAGGCGAGCGUUAUCCGGAUUUAUUGGGCGUAAAGCGCGUGCAGGUGGUUUGGUAAGUUGGGUAUGAAAUCUUCUGGCUUAACUAGGAGAGGUUGCUCAAAACUGCCAGACUAGAGGACGAUAGAGGAAGGUGGAAUUCCCGGUGUAGUAGUGAAAUGCGUAGAUAUCGGGAGGAACACCAGUGGCGAAGGCGGCCUUCUGGGUCGUUCCUGACACUAAGACGCGAAAGCAUGGGUAGCAAACGGGAUUAGAAACCCCGGUAGUCCAUGCCGUAAACGAUGUGAACUUGAUGUCGGUGGUGUAAUAAUCAUCGGUGUCGUAGUUAACGCGAUAAGUUCACCGCCUGGGGAGUACGAUCGCAAGGUUA
This 377-nucleotide ribosomal RNA is filed under the name uncultured Anaerolineae bacterium. RNAcentral's name for it is "bacterial SSU rRNA". It matches the Rfam family "Bacterial small subunit ribosomal RNA", at positions 521 to 896 of the family's 1533-position model. Lineage: Bacteria; Bacillati; Chloroflexota; Anaerolineae. The record is from RNAcentral.